UUAAGUUAUUAAGGGCGCACGGUGGAUGCCUUGGCACUAGAAGCCGAUGAAGGACGUUACUAACGACGAUAUGCUUUGGGGAGCUGUAAGUAAGCUUUGAUCCAGAGAUUUCCGAAUGGGGAAACCCAGCAUGAGUUAUGUCAUGUUAUCGAUAUGUGAAUACAUAGCAUAUCAGAAGGCACACCCGGAGAACUGAAACAUCUUAGUACCCGGAGGAAGAGAAAGAAAAUUCGAUUCCCUUAGUAGCGGCGAGCGAAACGGGAAGAGCCCAAACCAACAAGCUUGCUUGUUGGGGUUGUAGGACACUCUAUACGGAGUUACAAAGGACGACAUUAGACGAAUCAUCUGGAAAGAUGAAUCAAAGAAGGUAAUAAUCCUGUAGUCGAAAAUGUUGUCUCUCUUGAGUGGAUCCUGAGUACGACGGAGCACGUGAAAUUCCGUCGGAAUCUGGGAGGACCAUCUCCUAAGGCUAAAUACUCUCUAGUGACCGAUAGUGAACCAGUACCGUGAGGGAAAGGUGAAAAGCACCCCGGAAGGGGAGUGAAAUAGAACCUGAAACCGUGUGCUUACAAGUAGUCAGAGCCCGUUAAUGGGUGAUGGCGUGCCUUUUGUAGAAUGAACCGGCGAGUUACGAUUUGAUGCAAGGUUAAGCAGUAAAUGUGGAGCCGUAGCGAAAGCGAGUCUGAAUAGGGCGUUUAGUAUUUGGUCGUAGACCCGAAACCAGGUGAUCUACCCUUGGUCAGGUUGAAGUUCAGGUAACACUGAAUGGAGGACCGAACCGACUUACGUUGAAAAGUGAGCGGAUGAACUGAGGGUAGCGGAGAAAUUCCAAUCGAACCUGGAGAUAGCUGGUUCUCUCCGAAAUAGCUUUAGGGCUAGCCUCAAGUGAUGAUUAUUGGAGGUAGAGCACUGUUUGGACGAGGGGCCCCUCUCGGGUUACCGAAUUCAGACAAACUCCGAAUGCCAAUUAAUUUAACUUGGGAGUCAGAACAUGGGUGAUAAGGUCCGUGUUCGAAAGGGAAACAGCCCAGACCACCAGCUAAGGUCCCAAAAUAUAUGUUAAGUGGAAAAGGAUGUGGCGUUGCCCAGACAACUAGGAUGUUGGCUUAGAAGCAGCCAUCAUUUAAAGAGUGCGUAAUAGCUCACUAGUCGAGUGACACUGCGCCGAAAAUGUACCGGGGCUAAACAUAUUACCGAAGCUGUGGAUUGUCCUUUGGACAAUGGUAGGAGAGCGUUCUAAGGGCGUUGAAGCAUGAUCGUAAGGACAUGUGGAGCGCUUAGAAGUGAGAAUGCCGGUGUGAGUAGCGAAAGACGGGUGAGAAUCCCGUCCACCGAUUGACUAAGGUUUCCAGAGGAAGGCUCGUCCGCUCUGGGUUAGUCGGGUCCUAAGCUGAGGCCGACAGGCGUAGGCGAUGGAUAACAGGUUGAUAUUCCUGUACCACCUAUAAUCGUUUUAAUCGAUGGGGGGACGCAGUAGGAUAGGCGAAGCGUGCGAUUGGAUUGCACGUCUAAGCAGUAAGGCUGAGUAUUAGGCAAAUCCGGUACUCGUUAAGGCUGAGCUGUGAUGGGGAGAAGACAUUGAGUCUUCGAGUCGUUGAUUUCACACUGCCGAGAAAAGCCUCUAGAUAGAAAAUAGGUGCCCGUACCGCAAACCGACACAGGUAGUCAAGAUGAGAAUUCUAAGGUGAGCGAGCGAACUCUCGUUAAGGAACUCGGCAAAAUGACCCCGUAACUUCGGGAGAAGGGGUGCUCUUUAGGGUUAACGCCCAGAAGAGCCGCAGUGAAUAGGCCCAAGCGACUGUUUAUCAAAAACACAGGUCUCUGCUAAACCGUAAGGUGAUGUAUAGGGGCUGACGCCUGCCCGGUGCUGGAAGGUUAAGAGGAGUGGUUAGCUUCUGCGAAGCUACGAAUCGAAGCCCCAGUAAACGGCGGCCGUAACUAUAACGGUCCUAAGGUAGCGAAAUUCCUUGUCGGGUAAGUUCCGACCCGCACGAAAGGCGUAACGAUUUGGGCACUGUCUCAACGAGAGACUCGGUGAAAUCAUAGUACCUGUGAAGAUGCAGGUUACCCGCGACAGGACGGAAAGACCCCGUGGAGCUUUACUGUAGCCUGAUAUUGAAAUUCGGCACAGCUUGUACAGGAUAGGUAGGAGCCUUUGAAACGUGAGCGCUAGCUUACGUGGAGGCGCUGGUGGGAUACUACCCUAGCUGUGUUGGCUUUCUAACCGGCACCACUUAUCGUGGUGGGAGACAGUGUCAGGCGGGCAGUUUGACUGGGGCGGUCGCCUCCUAAAAGGUAACGGAGGCGCUCAAAGGUUCCCUCAGAAUGGUUGGAAAUCAUUCAUAGAGUGUAAAGGCAUAAGGGAGCUUGACUGCGAGACCUACAAGUCGAGCAGGGUCGAAAGACGGACUUAGUGAUCCGGUGGUUCCGCAUGGAAGGGCCAUCGCUCAACGGAUAAAAGCUACCCCGGGGAUAACAGGCUUAUCUCCCCCAAGAGUUCACAUCGACGGGGAGGUUUGGCACCUCGAUGUCGGCUCAUCGCAUCCUGGGGCUGUAGUCGGUCCCAAGGGUUGGGCUGUUCGCCCAUUAAAGCGGUACGCGAGCUGGGUUCAGAACGUCGUGAGACAGUUCGGUCCCUAUCCGUCGUGGGCGUAGGAAAUUUGAGAGGAGCUGUCCUUAGUACGAGAGGACCGGGAUGGACAUACCUCUGGUGUACCAGUUGUCGUGCCAACGGCAUAGCUGGGUAGCUAUGUGUGGACGGGAUAAGUGCUGAAAGCAUCUAAGCAUGAAGCCCCCCUCAAGAUGAGAUUUCCCAACUUCGGUUAUAAGAUCCCUCAAAGAUGAUGAGGUUAAUAGGUUCGAGGUGGAAGCAUGGUGACAUGUGGAGCUGACGAAUACUAAUCGAUCGAAGACUUAAUCAA
This 2921-nucleotide ribosomal RNA is filed under the name Staphylococcus aureus M0108. RNAcentral describes it as "bacterial LSU rRNA". It matches the Rfam family "Bacterial large subunit ribosomal RNA". Lineage: Bacteria; Bacillati; Bacillota; Bacilli; Caryophanales; Staphylococcaceae. The record is from RNAcentral.